CGGGGCAUAGCGCAGUCCGGCAGCGCGGAAGUUUCGGGAACUUCAGGUCGCAGGUUCAAAUCCUGCUGCCCCGACCA
Molecule: transfer RNA, 77 nt
Filed under: Bradyrhizobium valentinum
Lineage: Bacteria; Pseudomonadati; Pseudomonadota; Alphaproteobacteria; Hyphomicrobiales; Nitrobacteraceae
Description: tRNA-Pro
Rfam family: tRNA
About the family: Transfer RNA (tRNA) molecules are approximately 80 nucleotides in length.
Source: RNAcentral